CAUCAUUAACUCACUUAACAUUUUUUUAUUCACAGAGUAAAUUCAGUCAACCCACCAUCAUUAGCCUGUAACUAAAGCAAGCAGGCACAGAAAUUAAAUAGAGAUGUAGAAGAAGAGGAUCUUAAGGGUUGGAAAGAAAGAGGCGGAGAAGAGAAAGAGGAAGAAGAUCACAACCAAAGAGGGGGGUGACAGUGAGCCAACCAAAAGAAGAGGAGAAAACACAGGAAAACAUAAAAAAACUAAAAAACUUCAUCAAAAAAAAAAAUACAUAAAAAUAGCCUCUAUAUAAGGAGGGAGAUUUAAUUAAAAUACAG
Paralichthys olivaceus (Japanese flounder) is the source of this 314-nucleotide non-coding RNA. Lineage: Eukaryota; Metazoa; Chordata; Actinopteri; Pleuronectiformes; Paralichthyidae. The record is from RefSeq and is a predicted model, not a curated record.